AUUAAGACACCAGUUCCUGCCAGCGCCUCUGGGUCAGGCGACUCCACCAGCCAGGCCGCGUAUGUGCCUACCACCCAGGAACUGCUAGCAGACAUCAGCAGGCUUGAGCUCGACAGGCGUAGCGAGGGCGAUUUGCGGCUCUCGGAUCUGGACGAGCCCGAGCUAUGAGUACACCGCAAUUGGCAGUAGCCCAGGUCAACCUGCACCACGCGGUGGCCGCCUCGGCGGUCAUUGCGAGCAGGUUUGCCACGGAGGACCUGGGCAUUGUACUGAUCCAAGAGCCGUGGACCUACAGAGGCCAGGUCAGGGGCCUAAAUCACAACUGUAAUAAGAGUUUUUAACACAGGAUUUGGUAGCAGUUCAGACGACGCUGUCAAUACACGGCAGAAGCACGGAGGUCGUCUUUGCUGCAGCCUAUUUCGCGGGGGACAACGUCACCGUUCCACCCCUGGAGGUACAGCAGCUGGUGGAAUUCUGUCGGAGGAAAAGGAUUCCGAUCA
Molecule: long non-coding RNA, 500 nt
Organism: Rhagoletis zephyria (snowberry fruit fly)
Lineage: Eukaryota; Metazoa; Arthropoda; Insecta; Diptera; Tephritidae
Source: RefSeq, a predicted model, not a curated record